AGUUGUAAACCUAGCCCAAAUAAUUACUAAAUACCAUUUUAAUAAAAACUAAACCAUUCUACUAUUUAGUACAGGAGAUAAAAAAAUGAAAAAGCGCAAUAGAAAAAGUACUGUAAAGGAAAAUUGAAAUAGAAAUUAAAUAAAUUAUAAAAACUAAAAAAAGCAAAGAUAUCACCUUUUACCUUUCGCAUUAUGGUCUAGCAAGUCUAAUAUAACAAAAAGAAUUUAAGUUAUUUUUCCCGAAACCAGACGAGCUACUCUGGGGCAGCAACAAGAGCCAACCCUUCUCUGUGGCAAAAGAGUGGGACGACUUCUGAGUAGCGAUGACAAGUCAAACGAGCCUGGUGAUAGCUGGUUACUUAAUAAAUGAAUAUAAGUUCAAAUUAAAGCACUCUAAUCAUAAAAGAAAAAAUAGCACUUUAAAAAUAAUUAACAGGGGUACAGCCCUCUUAAUAAAGGAUACAACCUAAAUAAAUGAAUAAUAUAUAUAAAGAAAUUAAUUAUGUAGGCUUAAAAACAGCCACCUUACUAAAAAGCGUCAAAGCUUAAUUUAAUAUAACCUUAUAAUCUCAUAAAACAUAAAUUCACAUAACCUAUUAAGUCAAUCUAUUAAUAGAUAAGUUAAUACUAGAAUGAGUAAUAAGAAAAAAUUCUCUAAAUAUACAUGUAAAUUAGAACGAAAAACCACUAAUAAUUAACGAACUAAAUAAAAAGAAAUACAAUUACCACAAGAAAAAUAUGUUAUUAAAAUCGUUAAACCAACACAGGAAUAUAAAAGAAAGAUUUAAAAUAUAAAAAGGAACUCGGCAAUCAUGAACUUCGCCUGUUUACCAAAAACAUCGCCUCUUGAUUUUAAUAAGAGGUACUGCCUGCCCAGUGACAUCAGUUUAACGGCCGCGGUAUUAUGACCGUGCAAAGGUAGCGUAAUCACUUGUCUUUUAAAUAAAGACCUGUAUGAAUGGCAAAACGAAAGCUCAACUGUCUCUUUUAAUUAAUCAAUGAAAUUGAUCUUUCCGUGCAGAAGCGGAAAUAAUUUUAUAAGACGAGAAGACCCUAUGGAGCUUUAAACAAAUAUUAAUUAUUUAUAAAAUAAAAGUAAUAAGAGUUUUAGGUUGGGGCGACCGUGGAGGAAAAACCAACCUCCAAGAUAAAUAUUAGAAAUACACAUCAAAAUAAUAAAAAUUUAACAUAUUUGAUCCAAUAAUUGAUCAACGAACCAAGUUACCCUAGGGAUAACAGCGCAAUCUUCUCAAAGAGUCCUUAUCGACGAGUAGGUUUACGACCUCGAUGUUGGAUCAGGACACCCAAAUGGUGUAACCGUUAUUUAAGGUUCGUUUGUUCAACGAUUAAAGUCCUACGUGAUCUGAGUUCAGACCGGAGUAAUCCAGGUCAGUUUCUAUCUAUAAUUUAACUUCCUCCAGUACGAAAGGACCGAGAAAGAAGAGCCUAUUAUAAAUUAAAGCUCUACCACCCACUGCUGAAAACAACUCAAACAGUAAGUGGUAAACAAUUAAAAGCUAAGAUAAGGCUU
Molecule: ribosomal RNA, 1531 nt
Filed under: Rhyacotriton variegatus (southern torrent salamander)
Lineage: Eukaryota; Metazoa; Chordata; Amphibia; Caudata; Rhyacotritonidae
Description: large subunit ribosomal RNA
Rfam family: Bacterial large subunit ribosomal RNA
Source: RNAcentral